Molecule: unclassified non-coding RNA, 282 nt
Filed under: Hevea brasiliensis (rubber tree)
Lineage: Eukaryota; Viridiplantae; Streptophyta; Magnoliopsida; Malpighiales; Euphorbiaceae
Source: RNAcentral
UAACAUCCCAAGAGCAAAUAUUGACAACUGAAAUAGAAAUAUUCACAAGCCAAUUAUUCGGUAAUUUAUACCUAUAGCAGAAUUUUGCAAGAUGGUGAACCGCUUUAAUAAAUAUGUUUUUCCAACUUCAUCAUGCACUUGUUUAUCUUGCAUGGAUGUGGAUAAGUUUACUUUCGCUUUACAUGUGUUUAAUAAGUUCAAGAAUUUUCAUUGCCGUGGCUUGCUAUUGUAGCUGCAUAUUUCAACAUGGACUUACAAGAUUUUUAGGCCAUGAAAGUGAGA